GGAUGUAGCUCAGUUGGCUGAGUGCUUACCUCGAAUGCACAAGGCCCUGGGUUCAAUCCCCAGCACCA
This 68-nucleotide transfer RNA is filed under the name Marmota monax (woodchuck). RNAcentral's name for it is "tRNA.Ser". Lineage: Eukaryota; Metazoa; Chordata; Mammalia; Rodentia; Sciuridae. The record is from RNAcentral.